UCUAACAACAUAUAAAAAUCGAAUGUGGACCUACUUAUUUUUCAAUUGAAUGUAAUUGACUAUCUAAUUGAGUGCCACCUAUGCAUUGGGGCCUCUUUUAAUUAAUACAAAAUUGAGGUUACAUCUUUUCAAAUGUUUCUCAAUUAAUAUAUAGGGGAUUUGAUUUGUAAUUUGUAUGAAGAAAUAGAAAAAGAUGAAAAAGUAGGUUCUACCGAGAAUUGAACUCGGGUUACUGGAUUCAGAGUCCAAUGUCCUAACCGCUAGACCAUAGAACCACCUGUUAUGUCUAUCGAUAUAAAUGUUUAUAACUAUAUAUCACCAGGCUUGCCAUAAAAGUACGCUACACUCACCGACGGCGUUUAAAAGAACAUUACCGGACAUCAGUUACGUCCGCAUUGGGGUUGAAGAGACAACCGUCGGAUUCAAAGGGAGCCUCAGCAUCUGGACGGCUCAUAUUUGAUCUCUCUUCUUCUUCUUCUCUCUCUCAAAGAAGAAAAGCACCAGACGUUGACGAGAGAGAGAGAGAAGGGAGAGACAGAGUCACCAGUUCGGUUUCCUGGAAAAUUUUCAGUUAAUUCUGUCAAUCAAUUUCUCUUAACUUUGUCUCUCCUUUCUCGACAUUUCCAGAUUUCUAUAAUCGAAUCCAUUCUCACAGAUUCCCAAAAGUGGCAAAAGAAGCAAUGUACUGUUAAUCGGUUUCGAAAGAAAGAAAUUUUCUUUUCCGAGAAGAAGAAGAGAAAAUGAUUAGUUUUUGAAUUUUGGGACUUUUUUGUUUUUUCGAUUUUUGGAAAUUGAUUUUUGGUAAAUGGAGACGGAGAGUAUGGAGUUUGAAUCGUCGAUGAACGAAGGAACUCACCACUUCUCUUCCACCAAGACUCACGCCGUCGUUACCAAUAUAGUCGGUCCGGCGGCAACUAGCGUCUACGAGCUUCUAGAGUGCCCUGACUGUACCUUUUCCAUGUAUCCACCUAUCCAUCAGUGUCAAAAUGGACACACGUUAUGCUCGACCUGUAAAGUGAGAGAGUGCACAACCGUUGUGCCACGUGUAGACAAGAGCUCGGAGAUAUUCGAUGUUUAGACCAACCGCAACGGCGGUCUGUCACGGGUCCGUAGCCCAAAUCCUUAGCUUUUUUACAAUUAAAAAAUUGUGAAUUGGGCUAAGCUUUAGACGGUUCAGUCCGUAAAUAAGACUUCGAAGGAUCAAGUCCGUACUGCACGUGGCGUCUGAUGGUUGGCCCGGCAAGGUUUUGUGUUGGGUUAUGUCGAAACAAAAAAAAAUUUAAUUAUGUUUAUAUUUAAUCAUGUUUUUAUUUAGGAAUUUUUCUAUCUUUAUGUAAAAUUAUUGUUUUUAUCUUUAAUUGUUGUAUUUUUAUGUUUAAUUAUUGUUUUUAUGUUUAUUUAUUGUAUUUUAUGUUAAGUUAUCCUAUUUAAUCAUCCAAUAUAUAAAAAUUAUAUUUCACUAAACAAAAAAAAGAUACAUUUUUUUAUUCCUAAAGAUUCCAAUUUCGUGAUCAACAUUGUACACACAUUUUUCACAAGAGUCCUUAACUAUUCAAUAAAAAAUAAUAAUAAUAAUACUAAUCUAAUCCUAAGGACUCCACAAUGGGUAUCACAUUUAUUUACAAAGAGCUAUAUACAGUUAGAAACAAAGACCUAUACACAAACAUAGAGCCAACACAUUAAAAGAAAAUGAUUCAUUAAUAAAAACCCAUUUAAGGAAACCGGAACUACAUAGACCAAACACCUAACAAGAACAUAGAACAUACACCAAACAAGAACAUAGAGCAUACAUAAAAUAUCAUACAUAAAGAGACAUCUUCUUCUUAAUUUUUUUUCAGAAUAACUCGGCUAGGAGCUUAUUCUUCACAACUACUUCCGCCUCACUCAAUAGUUCAGUACGGGUAAGGAGAGUGUCUAGUAUUGCUAGCCUCGACAGUUUCUCCUUCCUCACCAAAUCGUCUUUCUUCAUUUCCCAAACAGUCGCAAUCUCAGCCACGGACUUUUUUUUACCCGUAUUUCUUUUAGCCUUAGCAGCCUUGACACCUUCGGGCCUGCUCUCAACAUCAACGAAGCCUUCGUUGGUAGAAGUUUAGGAAUUUAUCUCCACAUUCUUCCUCUUCGAAACGCCACCAGUCGUGGGUGUGUUGAGGCUGAGCCACUUCUGUUCAAACCUCAACACACACCAAGCAUGUUCAAGUGUGAACUUGUGCUCUUGAUCAGAGAAGAAAAUGUCAUGUGCCUUCUUCAGAACGUCAGUGUCAGUCUCACCACUUCUCAUUUGUCGCUCUGCUGCCGAGUAUGCGGCACAGAACUUGUUAACAUCUUCAUUGAUUCUGUGCCACCCCUUCUUGCAACAACCGUGCUCUCUCACACCAUCCUCUCUUCCAUGAGGACUUGAUGCAUAAUAAGCAGCAACCCGUUUCCAGAAGGCCCCCGACCUCUGCUCAUUUGCAACAAUAGCAUCCUUCGAAGUGUUAAGCCACGCACUGAUCAGCACCUCGUCAUCUGCUAGAUUCCAUUUGCGUCUUACAACACGGGCAGCUGGUGUCUGUACGGGUGUCUCUACUGGUGCGUCUUGAGAUUGUUGUGAACUGAAAGCCGGAAAAGGCUGUGAUUCUCCAAAGUUAACACUAGAAUGAAAACUUUCAUAAGGAAAGUUUUCAUGAAAAAUGCUACCUUAUUGACUGUGAAGCAGUCCUACGUAGCUAGAGGACUGGCUAGGAAGAUUGUUUGGAUCCAUAACAGUAAGAAAAUAUAAGAGAUUUCUUGGAGAAAGACUAAUGAGAUGAUAGAAGAGAGAAAAGAUAAGAGAUUUAAAUAGGAGGAAGUGAAGAAUACAAAGUACAUCACCACCUUAAUGGCCAACUCCGAACAAGAAAUGUCUAAUCCCAACUUAAUACACAACUAAAAAGCUAUCAACUUUCUUUUAAAACAUCAGUGGCUUAAAUAUAUAUCUAACAUUUAAUAUAUACCACAAAAUGUCUAACAGAAGACAGAGAAACAAUCAGUUGAAUGCAUUACUAUUGCAAGAUUUAAAAAAACAUUGAUCUAUAAACUAUGAAAAAUGCAAAGUCUCAUGAAGAAAGCUAAUCAAGACAAAUGAUAUGAGAUAUUUAAAUCUAUACGAAUCAAACUCUAAACUAUUAGUCUAUACGAAUCAAAUAUAUACAAAUGACAUGAGCUUAUUUUCACAGGUUGGAAUUUGCACACAUAUCAAACUCUAAACCACUUAAACAAUUGAUCUCGAACCAUAGAAAUCUAUACGAAACAAUCAUACAGUUGUUCAUAGAAAUCUAUACUAAACAAUCAAACAUAGAAAUUUGAACAAUCAUACAAUCAAAACAAAACAAUCACACAAGCUACAACGAAACAAUCAUACAAUCGAACCAUAUAAAGCUUUGGAAAUCUAUACGAACUAUCAUAAAUUGCCGAACCCUAGCAACUAUUCAAUUGUUCUCAAACCAAUGAAUCUAUAUCUUUUUUCCAUCGAAUCUAUCAAACACUCGGAUAAAUACCAUUUUAUUCGUCGAAUUUCGAGAAAACCCUAAAAAAAAUAUCGAAAUCAGAUCGGGCUUGAAAAACAAACCUUGUUAAGAUUGGGACGAUUCUCAAUGGUUUUGGGGAGGAUUGGUUCUCGUCGUAUUGGAACGGACGAACCGAUGUGGAUUGGGCUUUGGAGGAGGAUCAGGGGAUCAAACGACGCCGGAAGCUGCGACCUCGCCAACGGAGAUAAAGAGAUCUCCAACUCCAGUGAAAGAGAGAAGACGCAGGGUUGCCUUUCGAUUUGAAGAGAUGGAUUUAGAGAUCAAGGCUUCGCCAUCGCCAUCGCCAUCGCCAUCGAGCUUUGGAAUUUAUUUUAAUUUCGAUUUCAGAUUUCUCGAGGAGAAGAACACCCGAACAACACAGAUGGAAUCGCCCACUCCCGUGCUGCCAUGUCUCCUAUGAGACGAGCCCGAACAGCCCUUACUUAAGGCCCGUCCCACUCUCUUUUAAUUUCUUUUUCAUUUAUUAUUAACCCAUUUAAACUUACGGGACUGGUCUAAGGGCCCCCGAUACCGAUGCUCUUAGCUCUCGAGAAAGUAGCCGAGUCCCUUGAGCUGCCUUGCAAGUAUUACGACCUCGGAUGCCCUUGCAAGUAAAAUUCUGAAGAUUUUUUAUACAAACAAAUCUCAAGCUUUUUAAAAUCAACUAGUUGAUGUACCGCACCUUGUGCGGAUAAAUAUAUCUGUACAUCUAACAAUUUUUAAUUCUAUUUUUUAUAAGAUAAUAAUAAUUGAAUUAGAUACAAAUUUUAAAUUUUAAUUCAGAUAUAUUAGUAUACUUAUAUAUAAAUUUUAUAAUAAUCUGUAUUUGAUCAAUAUUUUCAGUAAAAAAUCAGAGAAAUUGGCUAUAAUAUUAGUCAUUAAAAUUAUAAAUGAGAGAAAAGUAAUGAUGAUAUUAUCGGUAUAUAUUAUUAAUAUCUAUUUAUUAAUUAAAUAUCGUAAAUAUCAUGUUUAUUAUAUAUUAAAAUAUUUUUUAGAAAAUAUUAGUAUAUAUAUCGGUAAAAUAGGUUCAUGUUUAUCAUGAUUUUAAAUAUCAUGAUAAAUAUAUAGAUAUCAAAUAUUAAAAAAUUAAUAAUAAUAUUAAUUAAACUAAUGAUUUAUCCUAAAAUCAUUAAAAAUAUGACAAGUAAACAAAUUAACUAAA
Brassica rapa (field mustard) is the source of this 4686-nucleotide long non-coding RNA. RefSeq lists it as uncharacterized. NCBI's taxonomy places the organism in Eukaryota, Viridiplantae, Streptophyta, Magnoliopsida, Brassicales, Brassicaceae. The record is from RefSeq and is a predicted model, not a curated record.